This 313-nucleotide long non-coding RNA is filed under the name Anas platyrhynchos platyrhynchos (common mallard). RNAcentral's name for it is "lncRNA (ENSAPLG00000021665.1)". Lineage: Eukaryota; Metazoa; Chordata; Aves; Anseriformes; Anatidae. The record is from RNAcentral.
UUGAUUUCAGGAAGCACAAAAACACUGGGUGAAAGAAAAAAAAUUGAGCUUCAUUUUUUUAACAUUUUUCCUCCACAGAUACCAACACUCGAUCUGUUCUGAGACAACAUCCUAGUCUGUGCAAGUGGAAGGAUAUUUCAGUGAUUAGACCUCUGCCAGCCCUGGACAUGUCAAACCCAGCUUCAGCCUCACGCUCCUGAUUAUUUUGUUGAGAAGAAAUGUGAAGCACAUCUUAAAGCAAAUCCCAUAGCACCGGGGAACUCUUCUGGAAUUCAAGAAAGAAAAGCUCUCUCUCAUACUUGCUGCCCCAACG